CAAUGGGCGCAAGCCUGAUCCAGCCAUGCCGCGUGCGGGAAGAAGGCCUUCGGGUUGUAAACCGCUUUUGUCAGGGAAGAAACGGCCUGCACUAAUACUGCGGGCUAAUGACGGUACCUGAAGAAUAAGCACCGGCUAACUACGUGCCAGCAGCCGCGGUAAUACGUAGGGUGCGAGCGUUAAUCGGAAUUACUGGGCGUAAAGCGUGCGCAGGCGGCUUUGCAAGACAGAUGUGAAAUCCCCGGGCUCAACCUGGGAACUGCAUUUGUGACUGCAUGGCUGGAGUGCGGCAGAGGGGGAUGGAAUUCCGCGUGUAGCAGUGAAAUGCGUAGAUAUGCGGAGGAACACCGAUGGCGAAGGCAAUCCCCUGGGCCUGCACUGACGCUCAUGCANNNNAGCGUGGGGANNNAACAGGAUUAGAUACCCUGGUAGUCCACGCCCUAAACGAUGUCAACUGGUUGUUGGACGGCUUGCUGUUCAGUAACGAAGCUAACGCGUGAAGUUGACCGCAUGGGGAGUACGGCAGCAAGGUUG
Molecule: ribosomal RNA, 534 nt
Filed under: uncultured Pseudomonadota bacterium
Lineage: Bacteria; Pseudomonadati; Pseudomonadota
Description: bacterial SSU rRNA
Rfam family: Bacterial small subunit ribosomal RNA
Source: RNAcentral